AGUGAACGCUGGCGGUAGGCCUAACACAUGCAAGCCGAACGGCAGCACAGUAAGAGCUUGCUCUUACGGGUGGCGAGUGGCGGACGGGUGAGGAAUACAUCGGAAUCUCCUUUUUCGUGGGGGAUAACGUAGGGAAACUUACGCUAAUACCGCAUACGACCUACGGGUGAAAGCAGGGGAUCUUCGGACCUUGCGCGAUUGAAUGCGCCGAUGUCGGACUAGCUAGUUGGCGGGGUAAAGGCCCACCAAGUGGACGAUCCGUAGCUGGUCUGAGAGGAGGAUCGGCCACACUGGAACUGAGACACGGUCCAGACUCCUACGGGAGGCAGCAGUGGGGAAUAUUGGACAAUGGGCGCAAGCCUGAUCCAGCCAUACCGCGUGGGUGAAGAAGGCCUUCGGGUUGUAAAGCCCUUUUGUUGGGAAAGAAAAGCAGCAGGUUAAUACCCCGCUGUUCUGACGGUACCCAAAGAAUAAGCACCGGCUAACUUCGUG
RNAcentral lists this ribosomal RNA (492 nucleotides) under uncultured bacterium. Its description in RNAcentral is "partial 16S ribosomal RNA". It matches the Rfam family "Bacterial small subunit ribosomal RNA", at positions 29 to 507 of the family's 1533-position model. The record is from RNAcentral.